UGUAAGUACUAUAUAUAUAUAGCAGGGCUAAUAGUCCAGUAACCCUGCUCUCUCUCUCUCUCUCUCUCUAUAUAUAUAUAUAUAUGAAGAAGCCAUUCAUAAAAAGUAUAUUAUUUUUUUUUAUAUUUAAAAAAUUAUGAACAGAAUUUUAAUAUUACUAGACAAUGGCUCAGUUUGGUAUUAAGAUCAGUCUAACGCUAUUAGAUAGAAUAGAGUUAAGAAAAAGUAUAUAGAGAUAUGCUUAUGCGAUCUCUGAUGGGAACGCAAAAAAUAUAUCGUAAUCGACUAACUGCAAUAUGCGGAAUACAAUAUUACGUACGAAAACAAAUAUAAUCGUCGUUUCUCAUCGUACGUAACACAAGCUUCCCACAAUCCCAAAAGAAUUUCGGUGCACCAA
Molecule: long non-coding RNA, 397 nt
Filed under: Ananas comosus (pineapple)
Lineage: Eukaryota; Viridiplantae; Streptophyta; Magnoliopsida; Poales; Bromeliaceae
Description: long non-coding RNA (ACOM_LNC009558)
Source: RNAcentral